Molecule: non-coding RNA, 155 nt
Organism: Pantherophis guttatus
Lineage: Eukaryota; Metazoa; Chordata; Lepidosauria; Squamata; Colubridae
Source: RefSeq, a predicted model, not a curated record
GCAGAGUAAGUGAAGGAACCUCAUGGGUAGGUUGAAGCUGCUGAAUGUGGAGGAUCAUUGGACUGAGUAUGCCAUACUGCAGAUUCCUGAGUAUGUUGAAGCUGCUGAAUGUGGAGGACCAUGGGACUGAGUAUGCCAUGCUGCAAAUUCCUGAG